CUUAUAACCAAUUUCUUAUUCAUUUUUCCAGGAGGAUGCUAUGUAUUUGCAAAUAUACAGAAGUAGUUUUACUUUUUUUCACUUCUCUGUUUAUCAUGCAGAGUUGGCAGCAAUCAAAAUAAAUUACCAUAAGAGAUUGGUUAAAUAUAAAUACAGGAUAACCUGCUAUACACUUCCUUAUAAUCAUAUUUUUGAAAAUAGUUUCAUGAUAUAAGAAAAUUUUUAUCAAUUGAAAAAGUACAUUAUGGUUUGUAUCUGAAUGUCCCCCCAAAGCCUCCUGUGAUCAUAGGUAGGGAUUUGAAAGGUAAUGGGAUAGUGGGGGUGUGAUUAGCUCUCUGAUGUCUUUAUACACAUGUGAUGUUGGGAAGUGAAGGUUGACAGAAGAGGUGGGUCACUGUGGCGUGGUCUGGAAGGAUGUAUCUCCCUCCCCCCUCCCUUUGUCUCUUCCUGCUUCCCACCACUACCAGCCAUGGGCUGUUUCUCGUCUGUCCUGCCUGGCUACCAUGCUGCCCUGCCUUGGAACCAGCCAACUAUGGACUGAAACAUCUACAAACUGUGCGAGCAUGUGUGUGUAUUGCACUGGGUCCCAGUGUAAAUAAGGUGCAUUUCUGAUCAUGGUGGUAGUCAGCUAUAAUGACAGAAAAGUGGCUUCAGAGACAAUAGGAGGGGAAAACACAAUGCAAUAAAGCAGACGUUAAAAUUUGCUAAAGUUGAGUGAAGGGAGUUCGACAUAUCAGCUCUUUCUAAACUCCAAGAAGCCUAUUGGGAAGAUCACUCAUUUUUCCAUUCACUGAUUCAACACAUAAUUAUUGAGUGUCUACAACGUUCAACCCACUGAUGAAAUGGCGUCAACUGGAUACUGGCAGCCUCUGUAUUAAAUGUAGCACAGAGAUAUUU
Molecule: long non-coding RNA, 897 nt
Filed under: Heterocephalus glaber (naked mole-rat)
Lineage: Eukaryota; Metazoa; Chordata; Mammalia; Rodentia; Bathyergidae
Description: lncRNA (ENSHGLG00100043208.1)
Source: RNAcentral